Long non-coding RNA from Lycium ferocissimum, 842 nucleotides. RefSeq lists it as uncharacterized. The transcript has 2 exons. The record is from RefSeq and is a predicted model, not a curated record. Lineage: Eukaryota; Viridiplantae; Streptophyta; Magnoliopsida; Solanales; Solanaceae.
GUCUACUUUAGUUAGACUCUGAUUAGAGAAUCGUAUGUAGUUGUAGAAAGUGACAGGGAUAGCAUGAUAGGCCUUCGGGCAUGAAGUGGAGGUGAAUUCCAAUUAGGAUGGUUUUGUCAGCUGUUAUGUGGGCUUGUCGCCAAAUGUGUUAUUUCUGUGAUUAUCACUUGUUUGUAUCUCCGUCACAUACUAGUUCACUCAUCACAUGAAAAGGGAUGGUAAUAUUGAUAAUUGGACAGUGGACAGUAAUAUGACUUGUACUUGUUGAUUUAUAUUGGUGAUAUUGUUGAGACUGAUAUCAUGCAUGACAUACUUUCCAUAUUAUUGUUGUGAUGAUUGGUGAGGUGAGUGAUUGAGAGACUCCGAGGUUUUUGCCGGAGAUGGAGAGUGACAGAGAGACUCCGAGGUCAUUGCCGGAGAUUGAGAGUGAUUAAUAGCCUCCGAGGUUUCUGCCGGAGAGCACGAGUGGUACAUGGACUUCGCGGGUCCCCCAUGGGUCAUGGCUUUGAGGCACUGCCCUUAGCAUGUGUGUACGAGAGUGGAGUGAGAGAGAGUACGAUCCAGGUUCCAGUUCUACACCCCGUGGCUGAUACGCAAGGGUGACAUCUUUCAGUCAUUCAGGGUGAGCUACUUGGUCAUCCGUGGCCCCUGAAGGACCUCCUCUAUUUAUUUCUGUCUUUGUAUUCGACAGACAGUAUGUAGCCUUUGGGUAUUUUCAGACUUCUAUUCCGUACUAUGUUAGCGCUCUUGUACCCUUUGACCAGAUUUUGGGGUUGUCGUGACAUUUCUAGUUUUGAUAAGUAUUUAAGACUUGAUAACUUAUUCUUAUUUAAUUUUCCGCU